AACGAACGCUGGCGGCAGGCUUAACACAUGCAAGUCGAGCGCCCGCAAGGGAGCGGCAGACGGGUGAGUAACGCGUGGGAAUCUACCUAGUUCUACGGAACAACACAGGGAAACUUGUGCUAAUACCGUAUACGCCCUACGGGGGAAAGAUUUAUCGGAAUUAGAUGAGCCCGCGUUGGAUUAGCUAGUUGGUGGGGUAAUGGCCUACCAAGGCGAAGAUCCAUAGCUAGUCUGAGAGGAGGAUCAGCCACACUGGGACUGAUACACGGCCCAGACUCCUACGGGAGGCAGCAGUGGGGAAUAUUGGACAAUGGGCGAAAGCCUGAUCCAGCCAUGCCGCGUGAGUGAUGAAGGCCUUAGGGUUGUAAAGCUCUUUCAGUAGGGAAGAUAAUGACGGUACCUACAGAAGAAGCCCCGGCUAACUUCGUGCCAGCAGCCGCCGUAA
RNAcentral lists this ribosomal RNA (445 nucleotides) under uncultured bacterium. Its description in RNAcentral is "partial 16S ribosomal RNA". It matches the Rfam family "Bacterial small subunit ribosomal RNA", at positions 29 to 523 of the family's 1533-position model. The record is from RNAcentral.